Molecule: ribosomal RNA, 505 nt
Filed under: uncultured bacterium
Lineage: Bacteria
Description: partial 16S ribosomal RNA
Rfam family: Bacterial small subunit ribosomal RNA
Source: RNAcentral
GACGAACGCUGGCGGCGUGCCUAAUACAUGCAAGUAGGACGCACAGUCUAUACCGUAGCUUGCUACACCAUAGGCUGUGAGUUGCGAACGGGUGAGUAACGCGUAGUUAACCUGCCUAUUAGAGGGGGAUAACUAUUGGAAACGAUAGCUAAUACCGCAUAACAGUAUGUAACACAUGUUAGAUGCUUGAAAGAUGCAAUUGCAUCGCUAGUAGAUGGACCUGCGUUGUAUUAGCUAGUAGGUAGGGUAAUGGCCUACCUAGGCGACGAUACAUAGCCGACCUGAGAGGGUGAUCGGCCACACUGGGACUGAGACACGGCCCAGACUCCUACGGGAGGCAGCAGUAGGGAAUCUUCGGCAAUGGGGGGAACCCUGACCGAGCAACGCCGCGUGAGUGAAGAAGGUUUUCGGAUCGUAAAGCUCUGUUGUUCAGGAAGAAAGAGUGUGAGAAUGGAAAGUUCAUACUGUGACGGUACUUAACCAGAAAGGGACGGCUAACUACGUG